Molecule: ribosomal RNA, 468 nt
Filed under: uncultured bacterium
Lineage: Bacteria
Description: partial 16S ribosomal RNA
Rfam family: Bacterial small subunit ribosomal RNA
Source: RNAcentral
GACGAACGCUGGCGGCGUGCUUAACACAUGCAAGUCGAACGGAAAGGCCCUGCUUUUGUGGGGUGCUCGAGUGGCGAACGGGUGAGUAACACGUGAGUAACCUGCCCUUGACUUUGGGAUAACUUCAGGAAACUGGGGCUAAUACCGGAUAGGAGCUCCUGCUGCAUGGUGGUGGUUGGAAAGUUUCGGCGGUUGGGGAUGGACUCGCGGCUUAUCAGCUUGUUGGCGGGGUAGUGGCUUACCAAGGCUUUGACGGGUAGCCGGCCUGAGAGGGUGACCGGCCACAUUGGGACUGAGAUACGGCCCAGACGCCUACGGGAGGCAGCAGUGGGGAAUAUUGCACAAUGGGCGGAAGCCUGAUGCAGCAACGCCGCGUGCGGGAUGACGGCCUUCGGGUUGUAAACCGCUUUCGCCUGUGACGAAGCGUGAGUGACGGUAAUGGGUAAAGAAGCACCGGCUAACUACGUG